Molecule: transfer-messenger RNA, 410 nt
Filed under: Chloroflexota bacterium
Lineage: Bacteria; Bacillati; Chloroflexota
Rfam family: transfer-messenger RNA
About the family: Bacterial tmRNA, also known as 10Sa RNA or SsrA, is named for its dual tRNA and mRNA-like properties.
Source: RNAcentral
GGGGAUGAACGGUCUCGACGGGGCAGGCUGUUCAGAAAUGGCAGGCCGUAGAGCGUCGACUACGUAAAAACAGGCGCAACCAUACAAAUGCCAAAAACACUGGCAAGGCUUUUGCAUUCGGCGCACCGGCCACUUCGAUGGCCCUCGCCGCCUGAUCUGAAGCCAACCAACUGACCUUCUGCGGAAGGUCACGGCUCGCUUCGAUGGUGCGACCAGGUCAAGCGUCAGCCGUCACCAACUGGAACGCUGCGGCGACAAACGCCGGUGCUGUCGCUUAAGGUCAACCGGCUGAUCUGAUAGUGAAUCCUGUUGCACGGAGUCCGUCAGAUGACAACAAAUAGUGCAACUAAGCCUGUAGAGGUUUCUGGACGAAUGUUUCGGACGCGGGUUCAACUCCCGCCAUCUCCACC